Molecule: ribosomal RNA, 253 nt
Filed under: uncultured bacterium
Lineage: Bacteria
Description: partial 16S ribosomal RNA
Rfam family: Bacterial small subunit ribosomal RNA
Source: RNAcentral
UACGGAGGAUCCGAGCGUUAUCCGGAUUUAUUGGGUUUAAAGGGUGCGUAGGCGGUUUGAUAAGUUAGAGGUGAAAUGUCGGGGCUCAACCCCGAAACUGCCUCUAAUACUGUUGGACUAGAGAAUAGUUGCGGUAGGCGGAAUGUAUGGUGUAGCGGUGAAAUGCUUAAAGAUCAUACAGAACACCGAUUGCGAAGGCAGCUUACCAAACUAUAUCUGACGUUGAGGCACGAAAGCGUGGGUAGCAAACAGG